CCAGUUCUUACAGGAACUAGUGGUGAUAAAUGUGGGACUUCUCAGAAGUCAUUCAUUUUCUUCUUUGUGCCACAGCAGUGUGCAGUCUCAGCUGCGCUGGCCUCACCCUCCUGAGAUAGCAGUGGCUCUGGGCUCACUCUCCUACUUUCUCCCAAAUGCAUUAAUGUUGGCGUUGCCUCUACUCUAAAGAGCUCAGGAGGGAUUUUAUCACUAACCAAGUGUCACAGGAUUGCUGCAUCUCUGAUUGUUGAAUUUUGCCCUUUUUAUGCAGUCUUUGCUCCCCCCCCCCUUUUUUUUUAAAUCUGAAGGGUAAGUAGAUUUCCUUUAACGUUUAUUUCUCUUGGUUUUCUUCCCAAAUGUGUCUUUCCUUUGGUACCUGCUUCCAGGGCUGUACCCGGCAUAGGUCCGUCUCUGCAGAAGCCUUUUCAGGAAUACCUGGAGGCCCAGCGGCAGAAGCUCCACCAUAGAAGCGAAGCAGGCACAGCGCAGGGAGAAAACUGGUUAUCCUGGACGUUUGAGAAGCUGGUCGUUGCCAUGGUGUGUUACUUUAUCCUGUCUAUCAUUAACUCCAUGGCACAAAGCUAUGCCAAACGAAUCCAGCAGCGCUUGAACUCAGAGGAGAAGACUAAAUAAGCAGAGAGUUUUUAUCUGCAGAAGUUAGCGUGGUGGAGCCUGCCUUACAUCGGGAGGGCUCUCACCAGGAAGGAAGAUCCCCAUUUCCAACCUGUACUGAUUUUUAAAACAUUUCUCCCUGAAAGCAGUUUAGUCCACAUUUUACACUGACAUACUUUUGCUUUCUUUGUUAAGGUAAGGUCUCCACCCUCGAUUCAAUCCACAUUGUAUUCCUUAGGGUGGAUAUGAUGUUCUGCUGCAAACUUAACAAAACUGGCCUUCUGAC
Molecule: long non-coding RNA, 898 nt
Filed under: Rattus norvegicus (Norway rat)
Lineage: Eukaryota; Metazoa; Chordata; Mammalia; Rodentia; Muridae
Description: long non-coding RNA NONRATT004734
Source: RNAcentral